GACGAACGCUGGCGGCGUGCCUAAUACAUGCAAGUCGAGCGGAACUUGAAAGCUUGCUUUCUAAGUUUAGCGGCGGACGGGUGAGUAACACGUGGGCAACCUGCCUAUAAGACUGGGAUAACUUCGGGAAACCGGAGCUAAUACCGGAUAAUAUAAAAGAUCACAUGGUCGUUUAUUGAAAGAUGGCUUCGGCUAUCACUUAUAGAUGGGCCCGCGGCGCAUUAGCUAGUUGGUGAGGUAAUGGCUCACCAAGGCGACGAUGCGUAGCCGACCUGAGAGGGUGAUCGGCCACACUGGGACUGAGACACGGCCCAGACUCCUACGGGAGGCAGCAGUAGGGAAUCUUCCGCAAUGGACGAAAGUCUGACGGAGCAACGCCGCGUGAGCGAUGAAGGCCUUCGGGUCGUAAAGCUCUGUUGUUAGGGAAGAACAAGUAUCGUUCGAAUGGGGCGGUACCUUGACGGUACCUAACCAGAAAGCCACGGCUAACUACGUG
This 496-nucleotide ribosomal RNA is filed under the name uncultured bacterium. Its description in RNAcentral is "bacterial SSU rRNA". It matches the Rfam family "Bacterial small subunit ribosomal RNA", at positions 28 to 507 of the family's 1533-position model. The record is from RNAcentral.